ACGGCUCAGUAACACGUGGACAACCUACCCUCAGCACGGGGAUAAACCCGGGAAACUGGGUAUAAUACCCGAUAGUUCUGGGAUGCUGGAAUGCUUCCAGGACGAAAGCUCCGGCGACUGAGGAUGGGUCUGCGGCCUAUCAGGUAGUAGUGGGUGUAAUGUACCUACUAGCCUACGACGGGUACGGGUCGUGAGAGCGAGAGCCCGGAGAUGGAUUCUGAGACACGAAUCCAGGCCCUACGGGGUGCAGCAGGCGCGAAAACUUUACAAUGCUGGCAACAGCGAUAAGGGGACCUCGAGUGCCAGGAUACAAUCUUGGCUGUCGUAAUGCCUAAAAAGCAUUGCAUAGUAAGGGCCGGGCAAGACCGGUGCCAGCCGCCGCGGUAACACCGGCGGCUCGAGUGGUAACCGCUAUUAUUGGGUCUAAAGGGUCUGUAGCCGGCCGGAUAAGUCUCUUGGGAAAUCCAGCUGCUCAACAGUUGGGCUUUCAGGAGAUACUGUUCGGCUCGAGGCCGGGAGAGGUGAGGGGUACUUCAGGGGUAGGGGUGAAAUCUUGUAAUCCUUGAAGGACCACCAGUGGCGAAGGCGUCUCACCAGAACGGUCCCGACGGCAAGGGACGAAAGCUAGGGGCACGAACCGGAUUAGAUACCCGGGUAGUCCUAGCCGUAAACGAUACUCGCCAGGUGUCAGCCACGGUGCGACCGUGGUUGGUGCCGUAGGGAAGCCGUGAAGCGAGCCACCUGGGAAGUACGGCCGCAAGGCUGAAACUUAAAGGAAUUGGCGGGGGAGCAC
RNAcentral lists this ribosomal RNA (793 nucleotides) under uncultured archaeon. Its description in RNAcentral is "bacterial SSU rRNA". It matches the Rfam family "Archaeal small subunit ribosomal RNA", at positions 85 to 879 of the family's 1478-position model. The record is from RNAcentral.